UGUAAGCGUAUACCAAAGUUGUUGCAGUUAAAACGCUCGUAGUCGGAAUUUGGCAGUUCCGGAUGUGUGCACGUCGUUUGCGCACUUCGCGGGGAUUGCUUUUGUGGUCUUGCGUAGGAUGAGGCACUUUUAUUAGUGAACGUCCUCACGCAACCACUUUUUACUGUGAGAAAAUCAGAGUGCUCAAAGCAGGCAUUUGCCGUGAAUGUAUUAGCAUGGAAUAAUAGAAUAGGACUUGGUUCUAUUUUGUUGGUUUGUUGGGACUGAGUAAUGAUUAAGAGGGACAGUUGGGGGCAUUUGUAUUUCGGUGCUAGAGGUGAAAUUCUUAGAUUACCGAAAGACAAACUGCUGCGAAAGCGUCUGCCAAGGAUGUUUUCAUUGA
RNAcentral lists this ribosomal RNA (382 nucleotides) under uncultured eukaryote. RNAcentral's name for it is "partial 18S ribosomal RNA". It matches the Rfam family "Eukaryotic small subunit ribosomal RNA", at positions 592 to 976 of the family's 1831-position model. The record is from RNAcentral.